UAACAGAUUAAGUGUUCCGCCUGGGGAGUACGGUCGCAAGAUUAAAACUCAAAGGAAUAGACGGGGACCCGCACAAGUGGUGGAGCAUGUGGUUUAAUUCGAAGAUACGCGAAGAACCUUACCUAGCCUUGACAUUGAUAGAACACCCUAGAGAUAGAGUGGUGCCCUUCGGGGAGCUUGAAAACAGGUGCUGCACGGCUGUCGUCAGCUCGUGUCGUGAGAUGUUGGGUUAAGUCCCGCAACGAGCGCAACCCUCGUCCUUAGUUGCCAGCAGUUCGGCUGGGCACUCUAAGGAGACUGCCUUCGCAAGGAGGAGGAAGGUGAGGACGACGUCAAGUCAUCAUGGCCCUUAUGGCUAGGGCUACACACGUGCUACAAUGGGGCGUACAGAGAGUUGCGAUACCGCGAGGUGGAGCCAAUCUCAUAAAGCGUCUCUCAGUUCGGAUUGGAGUCUGCAACUCGACUCCGUGAAGCUGGAAUCACUAGUAAUCGUAGAUCAGCAAUGCUACGGUGAAUACGUUCCCGGGUCUUGUACUCACCGCCCGUCACACCAUGGGAGUUGAUUUCACCCGAAAUUGGGAAGCUAACCUUCGGGAGGCUACCACUUACGGUGGAAUUAGCGACUGGGGUGAAGUCGUAACAAGGUAACCAAGGGCGAA
This 659-nucleotide ribosomal RNA is filed under the name uncultured bacterium. Its description in RNAcentral is "bacterial SSU rRNA". It matches the Rfam family "Bacterial small subunit ribosomal RNA", at positions 853 to 1510 of the family's 1533-position model. The record is from RNAcentral.